Molecule: long non-coding RNA, 603 nt
Organism: Oncorhynchus kisutch (coho salmon)
Lineage: Eukaryota; Metazoa; Chordata; Actinopteri; Salmoniformes; Salmonidae
Exons: 2
Source: RefSeq, a predicted model, not a curated record
GCUGAUCCAUGCUGAUGUGAUGUGUUGUGGCUGAUCCAUGCUGAUGUGUUGUGGCUGAUCCAUACUGAUGUGAUGUGUUGUAGGUGUUUGCUGAGACCACGUUGGACCCCCAGCAGAGUCAGUCCUGGGACCAGCUACGAUGUCUCUACAGAGGACCUUCCAGGUUGGCCAUCCUGUCGGAAAUCUCCCACUGCCAUGGCAACGAGAAGGCGGGCCUCCUAAACCCCUCCCAACCAGGAACAGGAAGUAUAUUCCACAGCGAGAACUUCCAGCUCAAACUCUCCCCACCGCCAUCGGUCGAAGAGUAGCUUGCCUACAGCCAUGUUCAGUAUGAUGACGUUGUGGAACUUUCAGAUAGAAAUAUUUUGUGUAGAACAGACACGAUGUCCUGGUCAGGUAGAAUAGGCUGUUCCGUCUAUUUGUUAUAUUUCUGACUGAAGACACCCCUGUUGUUUCUGUUGUUGAUUAAACACUACCACGGAUUAUACUCUUGUUGAUCAAAACUACGUUGUCCACUGUCUGGGCGGAUAUUUGAAAUGGUAUCGAUCAAAUGUUAUGUUUCUGUCUGCAAAAUGUCCAUAAAUAAACCAAUUUGUAACGUUU